UUUUUCUGGAGUAAUUUUUAAAUUUCCAUUGAGUUGCUGAUGAUUUUUGGGAAUUCAAAUUUUUAAAUAAAAAUGCGGGAAUAUUUAAAUAAAUAAAAUAAGAAGUUUUGAAUCGAUAGAUAAUUGAACAAUUAAACGACUCGAGGACGAGGACGAGGACAAUUUUUUUAUAUUGUCGUGUUUUAUAUGACAACGUCGAUAUUCUAACAGCUGUUUGAUACUGGUCCUUUUGUCCAGUCUCGGCCUUCGUGUACGAUAACCGAUUGGUGGAGAUGAACCCAACACUUUUCAUUGGCCGUUCAUUUUCUGUCUAACUGACUGAGAAACAAUAAAAGCUCGUAGCUCGUGUCCAUCAACAACACAACCCUAAAUUACUUUUACUUAAUUACUAUAUUUGUAAUUAAAUAUUUGUCAUUUAGAUUUUAUUCAAAUAUUUAAAUAUUCAAAUAUUAAUUUAUUUAUUACGCAUUGAAUGUCAAUGACAAUGGUCUUAUCUAUGUAGUAAUUAUAUACAGUCGAUAGUAAAAUGAAGAAAAAAUGACCGAACUCAACCUUGCUAGCAACUACGAGCUCUAGCAACUUUGCAAUAGGCCUUCAAACUUCCGUGAUGUUGCUGUAGCCGCCUGCUGACUGAACUACGAAACACACUUUCGAAAAUUUGUUAACUUGGAGUCCUACUCGAUGGAUAACGAGGACUAUCAAAUAUCAAGGACUAUUUUCGCAAUUUACACGUGGGUUUUUAUAAACAAUUGUUUUCUUUGUAAGUAAUGACUGCGGGGUUUGGAAAAUUCAUUGACAAUUAGCGAAACUACUUGGCGGCAAAGCUAAGUUUGAAUUAAUAUUCGAUUGUUUAUUUCUCGAGUGGAAAAUUUUUCUGGAUUUGGAAAUUUUGGAAACAUGGAAAAAUUUAUGAUCCUGAAGAUAAGACAUAUCAUCAGGUGCAUUAAUUAUUGUAUGGCCGAAUAAAUGGAUUGUCAGUUUAUCAAUGCCUAGAAGUGUUUCAUUGCAAACAGGACACUGCAGUGGUCGUGUCGCCACACUAACGAGUCCUACUCGCAGUGAAUCCAAUGAUGAAAAACUAGGCCGAGCACACAGUGGACAAGAAAAUAAUUGAGCGCACAUUUUGCCAGACAUAAAUUAACCAUCAGUACUAAUAACUCACUGUUAAUUAUUAUUAAUUUACAAUAUAUACUUAAUCAUUUAAUAUUUAUAAUUAAUAUUGAAUGUAAGUAAAUCACUAGACGCAAUAUGAUAAAAAUGAUGGUAUGUUUCAAGUGCACUCAUCACAUCACCACCAAAAACUAUUAUUAUCACAAACUACUAUUUAAAUUUAAACUAUAAGUCGUCUUAAACUUGACCCAAUUAACUAAUUACGGUUAUGGGCAAUUAAUUUUUUUUUUUAAGUACAAAUUUAAUUUUUUAUUGCUACUUAAUUGGUAAUAAAUAAAAUAUUUUUUAAAAACUAUUUAUAUAAGCCUGAGUAAAUUGACUUUAAAAUACAUCAGCUUAAGUUUAAAAAUGAGUUCAGGGUGUUUGAGCUAAUAAUAGAUUUACCGCGGGACAUUUAAAUGGUUACUUAAAUUAUUUUUUAUUUACAUACUUUGAAACGUACAAAAUUUUUUGAUAUAAAAAUUUAAUAUUUUAUUUAACUAACACUUGUAAGGUAAAUUGUCUUUGCAGCAAAACUCGCGGCCGGCUGAUAAGUUUGUUCUGAUCCAUUUGUCGCUACCAUUUUUUAUAAAUAAUUGAGCCUAACAUACAUUUAGUUAUGAAAUUAAUAUGUUUUUAAAUGAAAGUAAUAAAUAAAUGAAUACUCACUCGUUCUUUGUAACAAUCGCGAUUUAAUGAACUGCAGAUAAUUGUUGGACUGUUGGGUAAAUGUUUCACUAUCUGCAAAUUAAAAUGAUAAUUAUUUUUAUUGAUUUCUAACUAAUUAAUUAAAAUAAUUGUUCUAAUUUUCAAACUUCCCGCUAUAAAAUUUGAAAAUUAAAAAAAAAGGAAGUUAUUGGUGCAGUCCGGUUUUUAAAAAUUGAGUUUUCAUCAGGUCUAGGUUUUGAGGCCCUAGGAAACUAUUCUGACUAUUUCCGAGUGGACGUCUGCGCACUUGUGUUUGUAAACUAAUUUUUGUCAUACGAUAUCUUUGGAACAAAUCAACUGAUUAGAUCGAGCUUGGCGGCAAUUGAAAUGUCACAUCAAGACUUAGAUCUGGAUAGAUUUUGAAGUCAAUCGGUCGAGUAGUUCACGAGUUAUACGGAAAUUCAAAAUUCAAACAUUAUUUUUUUGAGAUUUUUUUCAUAUCACUCAUAAACUACAUGCCCGAUUUGCCUCAAAAUGUAUCCAGUUCUAAGUCUUGAUCAGCCCAGUCGAUUGCCACCAAGAUCGAUAAGAUCGAUCGAUUCGUUCCAGAGAUAUCGUAUGUCAAAAAUUAAUUUUUUUUGGUUGAACAACAAAUUAAUAAUUUUUUGACUUCCAAGAGCUCAAAAAUUUACGUCGUCUGAGCUCGAAAACAGCGGGAAGUUUUGAGGUUUGACCACAGGGUUAGUUUUUCAAAUUUUUAUACUUACAAUUGAUAGACAUUUUUUAAUACACGAUUUAUUGCCAUCGGAAUUGUUUGGAAAUUCUUCAAAAACAUCAUGAGUGAUAACAGGAUCUCCUUCAGGUAAUUCUUUAGCCUUUUUUUUAGAUUCACUGAGGAAAAUUCCACAAAGACAACCAGGAACUUUUGUCGGAACAGUCGAUGAAGUGACAUCCGUAAUAUUAAUAUUUAUAUUUUCUGUUGUGAUUUUUUCAAUUACAGACACAUAAUUUUCGCUUCUACUUCUUACAGCAGGAAUGCAGAACAAAAUGAAUAUAAUUUUAUAAAUCAUCUAAAAUAAAAUAAAAUAAAUUAUUUACUAAAUAAUGUAAAUAAUUAUUAUUAAUUAUCAAUAAAAAAUUACUUACUGCGAUGUUUCGCGCGCAGUUCAAAACUCAAUGAACGUAAAGUGUAAUUACACUUCUUUUUAUACAGACAGUAACGCAAUUGAUAAAAUAAAUAAAACUAACUUAUGAAAUAAAUAAUUUGCAAGGUUGCAAUUAAUAAAACUAAAGAACAACUCGAUCGUCAUCAGCGACGAGUUUGUAUCCACAUUUUAUUAUUUUUCUUGCUGACAAAAUAGUGACCGUUAUUUCAAUAGUAUCCCCCGCAUAACAAGGCUUUGGAUAAUGGAGAGACUGAUGGACGACAAUCGUCCCCGGUCCAGGAAGUUUAGUACCCAGUACACCGGACAAAAAACCAUUCAGCAGAGCGCCAUGUACUACUUUCCUCUCAGCACUCACAUGAAUAGGAUUAUAAUCAUCAGUUAAUUUCGCAAAAUUCAUUACGUCAUCC
Molecule: long non-coding RNA, 3370 nt
Organism: Microplitis mediator
Lineage: Eukaryota; Metazoa; Arthropoda; Insecta; Hymenoptera; Braconidae
Exons: 4
Source: RefSeq, a predicted model, not a curated record